AAUAGUCCACAGAAGUAAAACUUGGCAAUACUGGAAAGCACUAUGUCUACAUUUUUCUGAAGACACUUGGAGCUGCUAUGAAAGGUCAUUUUUUUGUUGCAGUACUUCGAUUUUCUGACAGGACUUCAAGGAUGCUGGAAGAUGUAGUUGUCUUAGUGGUGGUUCCAUAUAACUUCCAGUCGUAACAAUUUUUAUUGCGCAUAAAGUGAAUUGAAGGAAGGAA
RNAcentral lists this long non-coding RNA (223 nucleotides) under Zonotrichia albicollis (white-throated sparrow). Its description in RNAcentral is "lncRNA (ENSZALG00000006640.1)". The record is from RNAcentral. Lineage: Eukaryota; Metazoa; Chordata; Aves; Passeriformes; Passerellidae.